CCUUGCGCUUUUGGAGCGGCCGAUGUCUGAUUAGCUAGUUGGUGAGGUAAGGCUUACCAAGGCUUCGAUCAGUAGCUGGUCUGAGAGGACGACCAGCCACACUGGGACUGAGACACGGCCCAGACUCCUACGGGAGGCAGCAGUGGGGAAUUUUGGACAAUGGGGGAAACCCUGAUCCAGCCAUGCCGCGUGAGUGAAGAAGGCCUUCGGGUUGUAAAGCUCUUUCAGCCGGAAAGAAACGGUUGCGGCUAAUACUUGUGACUAAUGACGGUACCGACAGAAGAAGCACCGGCUAACUACGUGCCAGCAGCCGCGGUAAUACGUAGGGUGCGAGCGUUAAUCGGAAUUACUGGGCGUAAAGGGUGCGCAGGCGGUUUUGUAAGUCAGAUGUGAAAUCCCCGGGCUUAACCUGGGAAGGGCGUUUGAAACUC
RNAcentral lists this ribosomal RNA (431 nucleotides) under uncultured Nitrosospira sp. RNAcentral's name for it is "bacterial SSU rRNA". It matches the Rfam family "Bacterial small subunit ribosomal RNA", at positions 211 to 635 of the family's 1533-position model. Lineage: Bacteria; Pseudomonadati; Pseudomonadota; Betaproteobacteria; Nitrosomonadales; Nitrosomonadaceae. The record is from RNAcentral.